Molecule: ribosomal RNA, 165 nt
Filed under: uncultured bacterium
Lineage: Bacteria
Description: partial 16S rRNA
Rfam family: Bacterial small subunit ribosomal RNA
Source: RNAcentral
UAGGGAAUCUUCCACAAUGGACGAAAGUCUGAUGGAGCAACGCCGCGUGAGUGAAGAAGGGUUUCGGCUCGUAAAAACUCUGUUGUUAAAGAAGAACAUAUCUGAGAGUAACUGUUCAGGUAUUGACGGUAUUUAACCAGAAAGCCACGGCUAACUACGUGCAAG